Molecule: ribosomal RNA, 253 nt
Filed under: uncultured bacterium
Lineage: Bacteria
Description: partial 16S ribosomal RNA
Rfam family: Bacterial small subunit ribosomal RNA
Source: RNAcentral
UACGGAGGGUGCAAGCGUUGUUCGGAAUCAUUGGGCGUAAAGCGCGUGUAGGCGGCUUGGCAAGUCAGUUGUGAAAGCCCGGGGCCCAACCCCGGAACUGCAUCUGAAACUGCCUAGCUAGAGUCCCGGAGAGGAAGGCAGAAUUCCCGGUGUAGGGGUGAAAUCAGUAGAUAUCGGGAGGAAUACCAGCGGCGAAGGCGGCCUUCUGGACGGUGACUGACGCUGAGACGCUAAAUCGUGGGGAGCAAACAGG